Molecule: ribosomal RNA, 732 nt
Filed under: Chryseobacterium oncorhynchi
Lineage: Bacteria; Pseudomonadati; Bacteroidota; Flavobacteriia; Flavobacteriales; Weeksellaceae
Description: bacterial SSU rRNA
Rfam family: Bacterial small subunit ribosomal RNA
Source: RNAcentral
AGAGUUUGAUCAUGGCUCAGGAUGAACGCUAGCGGGAGGCCUAACACAUGCAAGCCGAGCGGUAGAGAUUCUUCGGAAUCUUGAGAGCGGCGCACGGGUGCGGAACACGUGUGCAACCUGCCUUUAUCUGGGGGAUAGCCUUUCGAAAGGAAGAUUAAUACCCCAUAAUAUAUUGACUGGCAUCAGUUGAUAUUGAAAACUCCGGUGGAUAGAGAUGGGCACGCGCAGGAUUAGAUAGUUGGUGAGGUAACGGCUCACCAAGUCAACGAUCCUUAGGGGGCCUGAGAGGGUGAUCCCCCACACUGGUACUGAGACACGGACCAGACUCCUACGGGAGGCAGCAGUGAGGAAUAUUGGACAAUGGGUGAGAGCCUGAUCCAGCCAUCCCGCGUGAAGGACGACGGCCCUAUGGGUUGUAAACUUCCUUUGUAUAGGGAUAAACCUACCCUCGUGAGGGUAGCUGAAGGUACUAUACGAAUAAGCACCGGCUAACUCCGUGCCAGCAGCCGCGGUAAUACGGAGGGUGCAAGCGUUAUCCGGAUUUAUUGGGUUUAAAGGGUCCGUAGGCGGAUCUGUAAGUCAGUGGUGAAAUCUCACAGCUUAACUGUGAAACUGCCAUUGAUACUGCAGGUCUUGAGUGUUGUUGAAGUAGCUGGAAUAAGUAGUGUAGCGGUGAAAUGCAUAGAUAUUACUUAGAACACCAAUUGCGAAGGCAGGUUACUAAGCAACAAC